GGUUAAGCGACUAAGCGUACACGGUGGAUGCCCUGGCAGUCAGAGGCGAUGAAGGACGUGCUAAUCUGCGAAAAGCGUCGGUAAGGUGAUAUGAACCGUUACAGCCGGCGAUGUCCGAAUGGGGAAACCCAGUGUGAUUCGUCACACUAUCGUUAACUGAAUACAUAGGUUAACGAGGCGAACCGGGGGAACUGAAACAUCUAAGUACCCCGAGGAAAAGAAAUCAACCGAGAUUCCCCCAGUAGCGGCGAGCGAACGGGGAGCAGCCCAGAGUCUGAAUCAGCUUGUGUGUUAGUGGAACGGUCUGGAAAGUCCGACGGUACAGGGUGAUAGUCCCGUACACCAAAAUGCACAGGCUGUGAACUCGAAGAGUAGGGCGGGACACGUGGUAUCCUGUCUGAAUAUGGGGGGACCAUCCUCCAAGGCUAAAUACUCCUGACUGACCGAUAGUGAACCAGUACCGUGAGGGAAAGGCGAAAAGAACCCCGGCGAGGGGAGUGAAAAAGAACCUGAAACCGUGUACGUACAAGCAGUGGGAGCACCUUCGGGUGUGACUGCGUACCUUUUGUAUAAUGGGUCAGCGACUUAUAUUCUGUAGCAAGGUUAACCGUAUAGGGGAGCCGCAGGGAAACCGAGUCUUAACUGGGCGUUAAGUUGCAGGGUAUAGACCCGAAACCCGGUGAUCUAGCCAUGGGCAGGUUGAAGGUUGGGUAACACUAACUGGAGGACCGAACCGACUAAUGUUGAAAAAUUAGCGGAUGACUUGUGGCUGGGGGUGAAAGGCCAAUCAAACCGGGAGAUAGCUGGUUCUCCCCGAAAGCUAUUUAGGUAGCGCCUCGUGAAUUCAUCUUCGGGGGUAGAGCACUGUUUCGGCUAGGGGGUCAUCCCGACUUACCAACCCGAUGCAAACUACGAAUACCGAAGAAUGUUAUCACGGGAGACACACGGCGGGUGCUAACGUCCGUCGUGAAGAGGGAAACAACCCAGACCGCCAGCUAAGGUCCCAAAGUCAUGGUUAAGUGGGAAACGAUGUGGGAAGGCACAGACAGCCAGGAUGUUGGCUUAGAAGCAGCCAUCAUUUAAAGAAAGCGUAAUAGCUCACUGGUCGAGUCGGCCUGCGCGGAAGAUGUAACGGGGCUAAACCAUGCACCGAAGCUGCGGCAGCGACACUAUGUGUUGUUGGGUAGGGGAGCGUUCUGUAAGCCUGCGAAGGUGACCUGUGAGGGUUGCUGGAGGUAUCAGAAGUGCGAAUGCUGACAUAAGUAACGAUAAAGCGGGUGAAAAGCCCGCUCGCCGGAAGACCAAGGGUUCCUGUCCAACGUUAAUCGGGGCAGGGUGAGUCGACCCCUAAGGCGAGGCCGAAAGGCGUAGUCGAUGGGAAACAGGUUAAUAUUCCUGUACUUGGUGUUACUGCGAAGGGGGACGGAGAAGGCUAUGUUAGCCGGGCGACGGUUGUCCCGGUUUAAGCAUGUAGGCUGGUUGUCCAGGCAAAUCCGGAUAAUCAAGGCUGAGGUGUGAUGACGAGGCACUACGGUGCUGAAGUAACAAAUGCCCUGCUUCCAGGAAAAGCCUCUAAGCAUCAGGUAACAUCAAAUCGUACCCCAAACCGACACAGGUGGUCAGGUAGAGAAUACCAAGGCGCUUGAGAGAACUCGGGUGAAGGAACUAGGCAAAAUGGUGCCGUAACUUCGGGAGAAGGCACGCUGGUGUGUAGGUGAAGUCCCUGCGGAUGGAGCUGAGACCAGUCGAAGAUACCAGCUGGCUGCAACUGUUUAUUAAAAACACAGCACUGUGCAAACACGAAAGUGGACGUAUACGGUGUGACGCCUGCCCGGUGCCGGAAGGUUAAUUGAUGGGGUUAUCCGUAAGGAGAAGCUCUUGAUCGAAGCCCCGGUAAACGGCGGCCGUAACUAUAACGGUCCUAAGGUAGCGAAAUUCCUUGUCGGGUAAGUUCCGACCUGCACGAAUGGCGUAAUGAUGGCCAGGCUGUCUCCACCCGAGACUCAGUGAAAUUGAACUCGCUGUGAAGAUGCAGUGUACCCGCGGCAAGACGGAAAGACCCCGUGAACCUUUACUAUAGCUUGACACUGAACAUUGAGCCUUGAUGUGUAGGAUAGGUGGGAGGCUUUGAAGCGUGGACGCCAGUCUGCGUGGAGCCAACCUUGAAAUACCACCCUUUAAUGUUUGAUGUUCUAACGUUGGCCCCUUACCGGGGUUGCGGACAGUGUCUGGUGGGUAGUUUGACUGGGGCGGUCUCCUCCCAAAGCGUAACGGAGGAGCACGAAGGUUAGCUAAUCCUGGUCGGACAUCAGGAGGUUAGUGCAAUGGCAUAAGCUAGCUUGACUGCGAGCGUGACGGCGCGAGCAGGUGCGAAAGCAGGUCAUAGUGAUCCGGUGGUUCUGAAUGGAAGGGCCAUCGCUCAACGGAUAAAAGGUACUCCGGGGAUAACAGGCUGAUACCGCCCAAGAGUUCAUAUCGACGGCGGUGUUUGGCACCUCGAUGUCGGCUCAUCACAUCCUGGGGCUGAAGUAGGUCCCAAGGGUAUGGCUGUUCGCCAUUUAAAGUGGUACGCGAGCUGGGUUUAGAACGUCGUGAGACAGUUCGGUCCCUAUCUGCCGUGGGCGCUGGAGAAUUGAGGGGGGCUGCUCCUAGUACGAGAGGACCGGAGUGGACGCAUCACUGGUGUUCGGGUUGUCAUGCCAAUGGCACUGCCCGGUAGCUAAAUGCGGAAGAGAUAAGUGCUGAAAGCAUCUAAGCACGAAACUUGCCCCGAGAUGAGUUCUCCCUGAGACUUUAAGUCUCCUGAAGGAACGUUAAAGACGAUGACGUUGAUAGGCCGGGUGUGUAAGCGCAGCGAUGCGUUGAGCUAACCGGUACUAAUGAACCGUGAGGCUUAACCUU
RNAcentral lists this ribosomal RNA (2901 nucleotides) under Klebsiella pneumoniae. RNAcentral's name for it is "23S ribosomal RNA". It matches the Rfam family "Bacterial large subunit ribosomal RNA". Lineage: Bacteria; Pseudomonadati; Pseudomonadota; Gammaproteobacteria; Enterobacterales; Enterobacteriaceae. The record is from RNAcentral.